This is a long non-coding RNA of Myotis davidii, 503 nucleotides long. RefSeq lists it as uncharacterized. The transcript has 2 exons. The record is from RefSeq and is a predicted model, not a curated record. Lineage: Eukaryota; Metazoa; Chordata; Mammalia; Chiroptera; Vespertilionidae.
GUGACUUUGGGGGGAGAGAUAUGAAGAGAUACAAUGAUUGAGGUGUUUUUUCUUUCUUUCUUUUUUUUUUUUAAAGGAGUCCAUGUUUGAUUCUCCCCUUUGCCCAGCCUUUGCAGGGAUUAAUAUUAUUGUUGUAUAUUUUACCUUCACUUCUUCUCCGUUACCUUGCCCGUCCCUUCCCCAGUUGCUUGAAUAUAAAAAUCAUCUCACUUAGGAAAGUAAUUUAGGGGUAAAUGGAACAGAUUUUUAGAAUAAAGGGAAAAUAAUCGAGUCUGAAGAUUGUGAAAUGACUUUCUCUUUUCUCCUAUUUCAGUGUAUUUCCCUUCUUCCAUGAUCUCCAACACUGAUAAAGUGGAAGAAACUGAGGUACCCUGACAGAGAAAAGUAACUGGAACUGAGAAAGAAAAAAAAAGAGAUUAUUCAGAUUUCAAACUAUCUGCUUUUUCUACAACUAAAUCUCUGUAUGCUCCUGCUGGUCCAUCAUAAAGUGACUGUUCUUCCAA